UUUUUGGAUUUUUUUUU
RNAcentral lists this small RNA (17 nucleotides) under Arabidopsis thaliana (thale cress). RNAcentral describes it as "ATSL145250". Lineage: Eukaryota; Viridiplantae; Streptophyta; Magnoliopsida; Brassicales; Brassicaceae. The record is from RNAcentral.